UAGUAAUUGAUGAUGGUAUGUGAGUUGAGAGCGAAUGAGGGGGAGAGAAAGAAAGAAAAAUAAAAAGUUAGAAAAAAAUAGAAAGUUUGAAGAAACGAAAGAAAGGUGAAUAUUAGUGAAAUGAAAAAGUGAGAGACGAAUGAAUCGAGGAGGAAGAAUGAGGUGUCAUGUGAAUAGUGUAUAUGUGUUCGCGCGGCGAUAAAGCACAUUUCCUCAAUUCGAGCAUAUUUAUUGAGUUUUAGUUCCACAGAAUGUGCUGUGUCGCCGAAUUCAAGUUGCACAUGAAAUAAUCACGGUCAGCUGCGACCACCGUUCUUGGUACGAUGAACCGAAUGCUCUCUUCGCGAAUUUCCCGUUCUUUUCGGCUCGCGUCUCUGCAUAUACGGAGAAGUUAUUACAAGACAACAUUAAUAUAUUUAUUAUUCAAUAUAACUUUAUUAUUCUUAGUUGGAAUUCUUACGAAAAUAUCGAGAAAAUAAUUUAUGAGAUUCAUUGAGCUACAGUUCAUCGUGAUCAGAUAGCGGAUUCGUGACUAAUCUUCCAAAUAGUGAUACAUUCCAUAGAUAAAGAAGAAAUUGAAUAGAAGUUCACAGUUCGUCUAAUCAAAACUAUUGUUUCUAAAAGAAAGAAAGAGAGGUCGGAAUAAAAACGAAAUUAACGAGGAAACAUCGAGAUAAGAUAGACGCGCGAGAAUUCAAGAACACCGAGUGAAUAUAAUCAACACACCCGGUAGAACUAGAGAAAAAAAAUAGUAACGAAAGGAAAGUAAAAAUAAUGAAAAGUAAAAUAAUCCUCGACCGUUCACCAAGAAAUGCGCACGAAUACCUUCCGAUCGGAGUUUCGCUCGUUACUCAUAGUUAUACUCGACGCUCCAAAAGAGAUCAUAUUUCCGAUCUUGAGUGUACCAUAUGUCGAGUGUUCCAUAUGUCACGAAAAUUAGUAACAAAAAUAAAAUAUGAGUCGUUUUUUUAAAGUAAAGAAAUACAGUAAAGUAAAGAAGUAAAAAAAAAAAAAAAAAAAAAAAAAAUAAGAUAAAAAAAAAAUAAUAAUAAAAAAAUAAAAAAAGAAAGAAGAGAAAUUCCUUAAAUCGAUCGGAAUGAUGUUAUUAUUGUCUUGUAAAAUAUUGGGGCCACGAAACAUAAUCUAAAAAAUGAAAAAACGACAUAAAAAAAGAAACAAAAAAAAGGGAAGAAAGAAUAAUAAUUUAAAAAAGGAGGGAACGAAGAAGACAGAUGCUCUGAUCGUAUUACGUUGAUUUAACAAGAACGUAUAAUGUAAAUCGAGAGAAUCAAGUAUGGUGAUGAGAUGAUAAGAUAUCAAUCGCCACAGUGAUUGUUCUGUUCUCUUUUGUUUUUUUUUUUUUUUUUUUUUUUUUAUAAUUCUUAAUAGAAUUAUAGCAUACAUAUGUUUUUUUAUGAACGAACGAAAGUGAAAGAGAAAAAAAUUGCGAGAAAGGAAGUGUGAGCGAAAUUGAGAAAUUGAAAUAGAAUCAAGCACGAGAAACAGAAACGAGAUAAUUUGUUGUAAGAAAGAGAGAGAGAGAGAGAGAGAGAGAGAGAGAAAGAGAGAGAGAGAGAGAGAGAGAGAGAGAGAGAGUGAGUGAAAGAAUGAGAGAGAGAAAAAGAGAGCAUUAGGGACCAACCAAAAAGAGAGAAAAAAUGGCGUGCAAUGGUGUCGAUUGUCGCGGUGGAUCGUUUUUUCUUUUUAUAUGCACAUUAAAACAAGAAAAAGAACAAUGGAGAAAGUGAGACAUCAGUGCCUCGACUUAUUUCGCGACCGAAUAUCGAACUAAUAAGUUAACCUGUAUCAUCUUUACAAGGACAUCAUGCGAUGUGUAUGAAACAUGUCGUUUUCGGUUCUCGCGAACACUCGAUCUUCCAUGUUUUUAAAAAAAAAAGAGAAAUGGGUAUAAAAAUUGAAAAAUUAAUAACAAUCAUGCUGUUUCUUUCUUGCACAGUCAAUGAUGGUUAAAUGAUAUUCAGCCGAAAAAAAUAUAAAAAAAAA
Apis florea (little honeybee) is the source of this 2004-nucleotide long non-coding RNA. Lineage: Eukaryota; Metazoa; Arthropoda; Insecta; Hymenoptera; Apidae. The record is from RefSeq and is a predicted model, not a curated record.